UGGAUCAUUACUCACCGUGAU
This 21-nucleotide ribosomal RNA is filed under the name Tylenchorhynchus zeae. RNAcentral describes it as "partial 18S ribosomal RNA". Lineage: Eukaryota; Metazoa; Nematoda; Chromadorea; Rhabditida; Telotylenchidae. RNAcentral also lists the same sequence under 1 other name. The record is from RNAcentral.